This 172-nucleotide unclassified non-coding RNA is filed under the name uncultured fungus. RNAcentral's name for it is "sequence contains ITS1, 5.8S rRNA gene". Lineage: Eukaryota; Fungi. The record is from RNAcentral.
CCGAGUUCUCGGGCUUCGGCUCGAAUCUCCCACCCUUUGUGAACAUACCUCUGUUGCUUUGGCGGCUCUUGCCGCGUGGUGGCCCUCAAAAGCCCCCCCGCGCGCUUCCGCCAGAGGACCUUCAAACUCCAGUCAGUAAACGUCGACGUCUGAAAAACAAGUUAAUAAACUA